CGCGGGGGGGGGUGCCUAAUAAUGCAAGUCGAACGCGUUGGCCCAAUUGAUUGAUGGUGCUUGCACCUGAUUGAUUUUGGUCGCCAACGAGUGGCGGACGGGUGAGUAACACGUAGGUAACCUGCCCAGAAGCGGGGGACAACAUUUGGAAACAGAUGCUAAUACCGCAUAACAGCGUUGUUCGCAUGAACAACGCUUAAAAGAUGGCUUCUCGCUAUCACUUCUGGAUGGACCUGCGGUGCAUUAGCUUGUUGGUGGGGUAACGGCCUACCAAGGCGAUGAUGCAUAGCCGAGUUGAGAGACUGAUCGGCCACAAUGGGACUGAGACACGGCCCAUACUCCUACGGGAGGCAGCAGUAGGGAAUCUUCCACAAUGGGCGCAAGCCUGAUGGAGCAACACCGCGUGAGUGAAGAAGGGUUUCGGCUCGUAAAGCUCUGUUGUUAAAGAAGAACACGUAUGAGAGUAACUGUUCAUACGUUGACGGUAUUUAACCAGAAAGUCACGGCUAACUACGUGCCAGCAGCCGCGGUAAUACGUAGGUGGCAAGCGUUAUCCGGAUUUAUUGGGCGUAAAGAGAGUGCAGGCGGUUUUCUAAGUCUGAUGUGAAAGCCUUCGGCUUAACCGGAGAAGUGCAUCGGAAACUGGAUAACUUGAGUGCAGAAGAGGGUAGUGGAACUCCAUGUGUAGCGGUGGAAUGCGUAGAUAUAUGGAAGAACACCAGUGGCGAAGGCGGCUACCUGGUCUGCAACUGACGCUGAGACUCGAAAGCAUGGGUAGCGAACAGGAUUAGAUACCCUGGUAGUCCAUGCCGUAAACGAUGAGUGCUAGGUGUUGGAGGGUUUCCGCCCUUCAGUGCCGGAGCUAACGCAUUAAGCACUCCGCCUGGGGAGUACGACCGCAAGGUUGAAACUCAAAGGAAUUGACGGGGGCCCGCACAAGCGGUGGAGCAUGUGGUUUAAUUCGAAGCUACGCGAAGAACCUUACCAGGUCUUGACAUCUUGCGCCAACCCUAGAGAUAGGGCGUUUCCUUCGGGAACGCAAUGACAGGUGGUGCAUGGUCGUCGUCAGCUCGUGUCGUGAGAUGUUGGGUUAAGUCCCGCAACGAGCGCAACCCUUGUUACUAGUUGCCAGCAUUAAGUUGGGCACUCUAGUGAGACUGCCGGUGACAAACCGGAGGAAGGUGGGGACGACGUCAGAUCAUCAUGCCCCUUAUGACCUGGGCUACACACGUGCUACAAUGGACGGUACAACGAGUCGCGAACUCGCGAGGGCAAGCAAAUCUCUUAAAACCGUUCUCAGUUCGGACUGCAGGCUGCAACUCGCCUGCACGAAGUCGGAAUCGCUAGUAAUCGCGGAUCAGCAUGCCGCGGUGAAUACGUUCCCGGGCCUUGUACACACCGCCCGUCACACCAUGAGAGUUUGUAACACCCAAAGUCGGUGGGGUAACCUUUUAGGAGCCAGCCGCAUAAGGUGAACAAGGAAUG
Molecule: ribosomal RNA, 1485 nt
Filed under: Limosilactobacillus fermentum
Lineage: Bacteria; Bacillati; Bacillota; Bacilli; Lactobacillales; Lactobacillaceae
Description: bacterial SSU rRNA
Rfam family: Bacterial small subunit ribosomal RNA
Source: RNAcentral